UUCUAAGUGGUUGGGGCGCCUGGGUGGCUCAGUCGGUUAAGCGUCUGACUUCGGCUCAGGUCACGAUCUCGCGGUCUGUGGGUUCGAGCCCCGUGUCGGGCUCUGUGCUGACAGCUCAGAGCUUGGAGCCUGUUUCGGAUCCUGCGUCUCCCUCUUUCUCUGACCCUCCCCUGUUCAUGCUCUCUCUCUCUCUCUCUCUGUCUCAAAAAUAAAUAAAUGUUAAAAAAAAUUUUUUUUUAAAGUUCUAAGUGGUUUAGUUAUGUUCUGAAGCAAGCCUGGUGGGUGCUUUGGUGACUGCCUCAUUUGAACCCUCAUCUCCUGAUGUUGCCUUCAGCCUGUGAGGUUGAAGUAUGCAGUGGACUCCCAAGGCUAUAGUGAUGAAGACUUGUGGCCACGGGGGCCUCACCAACUGUGAGCAGCACCCCAUGUUAGGCCCACGCAGCUACAGGUGAGGAGGAGGAAGGACACCGGGAGGCAAGUAGAAAGAAACCGUGGCUCACAUUCUGUUGAGGCCAUUCCCGUGGUGCAGGGUGAGCAUGCUCCUUCACCGUGUGUGUGUGUGUGUGUGUGUGUGUGUGUGUGUGUGUGUGUGUUGUGUCUCGGUGUGGCUUGUUUUCAAUUAGACCAGGCCUGAAAAAAUGAAAGGGAAGAAUUUCACUUUGAGACCAUAUGGAGAUGACCAAAUUCUCCCCGCUCGGGGCCCCCGGGCAGAGUAAACUUGCACUGCUAGUCGUGAACAGCAGUGUGUAAUAAAACAUUCUUUCCUUGAACCCUUUUGACUGGGAGGGAGGCACAGGGGGAGAACACAGCAGGAAUUCUUUCUUUUCAGCUGCUUCCUACUCUGUUGCUUACAUUCACCCAACAGAUCUUAUUGGGCUGCUACUGUGUGUGAGAGAGACGGAGACAGAGUGUGUGUUUUAUGGAGGAGACUGAUUAGCCUGGGCUCCGUUUUUGUUGUCCUUGGUGGUGCUGUGGAUCCCAUUUUAGGUUUACUGCCCCUUGACAUUUCUUAAAAGGAGUCUUCAAAGCAGAAAGUCCUAUUCUGAAGGCAGGUUUCUGGGCAGUAAAGUUGACAGGGUUUAACAUCAGGAAAGUCAACCUGAUAGAAAAAGGAAACAGGAUAAACAAUUCAAGCUCCAUUCCACAAAGUUCUUGGAUGGGAAAGGCCCUGUUAAUGAAAACCCAGUGGCAGGCAUUCACUGUUCAUGUGGCCAGUGCUGGAGAGCGUGCAGUCCGUGGCUCACCUUCCCACGAGAUGACCCCGGCAUUUGUAGCCGUGGCGAAAUAGUAAAGCCAUUAGAUAAAAUCAGGCCAGUAAGACUCCGGUGUUUGUUUACUAAUGGGAUUUCUCAAAUCAAGUCACUGUUGACUUGUUCUCAGCUCCCCCCAUCUCUUUUUCCCUAGGCUCACCUAAUAGAAGUGCCCUUCUCUUCUGCAGCCAACCAAUUUAGUGCCUGCCCAUUUAGCGAAAUUUGCAUUUUACAUAUUGAACUUGAAACUGACUUGCUUAAUAUAUAACCAGGGCAGUAGCUAAGAAGUUUUUAUUUCGGUGAACACUUAGUGAUGGUAAAAAACGAGACUGUGGCAUUCUGGUCUUUGGGCAUAUUGUUUGUUACUGGUAAGACAGGGAAUCUGAGGAUUUUGCUGGUGGGACUUUGGGACUGUGUUGUAGAUGUGAGUUUCCAUUUGAGCUCGUGUACAAAUGGAAGACUGUUCAGAAUUCCUUUUACACACAAACAAAAAGAUUAUAUGGGGUUUUGCCUCAUAUGGAAUAGAUCAACAGUUUAAAGCCAGGUAUGUUGCCCUGAGUGGAAUUGGUGUGUGAAGCUAAAGCAGCUGACACUGUGAGCCCCACUUAUCAUUUUCCACACUAGCCAGGAAGCCUUCUGUGCUGGGAAAAUAUGAGUUGAAGGUAAAAACUGAACAACGGAAAAUUUCCAUAUAUUUUUUUGACUCCGUAGUGAGUGCUUACUGUCCACAAUUUUAGAUUUUAGCUUUUUUAGCAGUGCUCUGCAAACUGCCUGUGGUGAGAGACAGGUUUCUUCCUCUCCUUCUGUUUCCAGUCCACGGUGCAGCGAUACAUUUAGAAAUACAGUAAAAAUGAAUUAUUAGAAAAAUGAUCACCUGCUUGGAUGUUCCAUCAAUUACAAAUUGUUAUAAAGGCUUCUAACUGUGUACUCUCAAAGCCUGUACUUAUCCUCUGGGUGGGGAACAUUAGCAGUUUGGGAAUGAGCACGGGGCUCAGGGGCCAUACUUUGAGGAACACUGUUUUCCAGUACAUUCUGACCACUGCUUCUGUCUGUGAUGGUUAAAGGAGAAAAGAGCUAAAGAAGAGAUAUUUCAGCCGUUUGUCAUUUCGUUAAGCAUUUCUGUGCUAGCUCCUUCUAGCGCGUUCAUUAGUCUCUGCAUUCCAUUCUUUAUGUUGUGUACCUUUAGGUUAAUUACACAUGUCUUAACUUCCCAUUUCCUGCAAAUUAACCUUUACUUCAAAAAUGUAAGUGAUUAUAUACACUACUUUUCUCCAAAAUUAACUACCACACAGUUUGUUUUAGUGAGUAGCAUAUUGGUUUUUUUUUCUUUCUUAAAUACAUUUGAAAUAAAUCCAAACACCUGUCUUGCAUUUUGUAAACACGUAUUUUGGAGUGCAUUACACCUUCCAUGAUGCCAUACGUUUUGUAGGUCAGUCUGAGACAUUUAUACAAUAAUUAAGAAAAUGGAUAUUCUGCUAACUUCCUUUCUUUGGCUUUGAAUGCCUGUAAACAAGUAAACAGGAAGAAGGUCUUGUGAUUAGUAAUGCAGAAUUCACUCUUCAGUCCGAGGUCAUCUGGGAAAUAUCAACUACUUUCUCCUAUACGGCUAAACCCUGACUAAACAGUUUUUAGGGACUCAGACGAAACUGUCAUUUGAAGAUGGGGAUUGUUUACUCUUUAGUUUGCCAAUGAAAAGAGUAAAAAUAUAGAUGUAUAGAGCUACUAUUUGCUUCUUAUAUUUCCCGCAUUCACUCAUGAAUCUAAUUUCCCCUAAUCUUUUCCUUUCUUAAGGGCAGUCAACAGUCCUGCUGAGGAGGUUGCCUUCCUUUUUGGAGAGUGAGGACUGGUUCCCUUGGCAGUGCUGAGCCCCAGAAAAGAGAGGGCACUGAGCACUUGAUCUUGGUCUUCCACGUUUCUUGGUAACCCCAGCAUGGGACUCAGAAGACAGAGCUCCCAUAUCUGGAUGAGCAUACCCUUGGGGUAUUUUCAUAAUGCUUUUGUGGACAUAGUUCAGCAACUUAGCACCCACCAAGACCUGUCUCUCUCUGUCUCUUUCUCUCUCUCUCUCUCUCUCUCUCUCUCUCUCUCUCUCUCCUGCCUAUCUUUCCUCCUCUGACAAUGGUCCCUGGGACCUGGGGUUGGAAAUUCUCCCUCAGUCUCCUUUCCUUUCCCAUCGUCCUCCGGAUGGGCCCUGAUGAAUUUGUGCUGAGUCGGGAGCUUCCCUUCCCUUAGAACCUAGCACAAAGCAGUUCCUGUCAUCCUGGCAGUGGACGCUAGAGACAAAGCUUAAUUUACUUGACUCUAUAGCUGUCUUUUCAUUUGUAUGCCCUUCUUGUCUAUUCUUGCUCUAGUUCUCUUUUCCUUGAAUCUUUGCUUGUCCAUAUUUUAAAUUUUCUUCUAAAGGCACAAACAGCACAUCAGGUAAAGGGAGGCUUCAGGACCGGAGUGCAGGGUCUUCCAAAAACAAAGUUCAGAAUGGCCACCCUGAUCGUCACGGCGUGGCUGGUGUUACAUUAACAGCCCGGAGCUCUUGUGGCUCUCCUCAGAGCGUUGUGUGGGAAGCACCACAGUGUAAUAAAAAACGGUAAUGAUUAAGAG
Neofelis nebulosa (Clouded leopard) is the source of this 3848-nucleotide long non-coding RNA. RefSeq lists it as uncharacterized. Lineage: Eukaryota; Metazoa; Chordata; Mammalia; Carnivora; Felidae. The record is from RefSeq and is a predicted model, not a curated record. The transcript has 2 exons.